AACUGAUACUACCUGCGGGAACCUGCGGAGGGAUCAUUAACGAGUUUUGAAAGGGGUUGUAGCUGGCCUUUCACGAGGCAUGUGCACACCCUGCUCUUCCACUCUCAACUUCUGUGCACUAUUGUAGGCUUGGUGAAAGGCGUUGACUCGCAAGGGUCAGCUGCCGGAAGCCUCGUCUAUGUUUCACUACAAACGCUUCAGUUAUAGAAUGUAACACUUGCGGAUGACGCAUUUAUAUAC
This 240-nucleotide unclassified non-coding RNA is filed under the name soil metagenome. RNAcentral describes it as "partial contains 5.8S ribosomal RNA, internal transcribed spacer 2, and large subunit ribosomal RNA". The record is from RNAcentral.